RNAcentral lists this transfer RNA (78 nucleotides) under Actinomadura yumaensis. RNAcentral describes it as "tRNA-Leu". It matches the Rfam family "tRNA". From Rfam's summary of the family: Transfer RNA (tRNA) molecules are approximately 80 nucleotides in length. Lineage: Bacteria; Bacillati; Actinomycetota; Actinomycetes; Streptosporangiales; Thermomonosporaceae. RNAcentral also lists the same sequence under 1 other name. The record is from RNAcentral.
GCCCCGGUAGCCCAAUUCUGGUAGCCAGGCGACGGACUUAAAAUCCGUAGAGUGUGGGUUCGAGUCCCACCCGGGGCA